RNAcentral lists this ribosomal RNA (254 nucleotides) under uncultured bacterium. Its description in RNAcentral is "partial 16S ribosomal RNA". It matches the Rfam family "Bacterial small subunit ribosomal RNA", at positions 524 to 776 of the family's 1533-position model. The record is from RNAcentral.
GACGAACCGUGCGAACGUUGUUCGGAUUCACUGGGCUUAAAGGGCGCGUAGACGGGUCGGCGCGUCGGUCGCUGAAAUCCCCCGGCUCAACCGGGGAACGGGCGCCGAGAUGGCCGUCCUCGAGUGGAGGAGAGGGACCUGGAACUGCCGGUGGAGCGGUGAAAUGCGUUGAGAUCGGCAGGAACUCCGAUGGCGAAAGCAAGGUCCUGGACUCCCACUGACGUUGAGGCGCGAAAGCCAGGGGAGCGAACGGG